Molecule: ribosomal RNA, 245 nt
Filed under: uncultured Croceicoccus sp.
Lineage: Bacteria; Pseudomonadati; Pseudomonadota; Alphaproteobacteria; Sphingomonadales; Erythrobacteraceae
Description: partial 16S ribosomal RNA
Rfam family: Bacterial small subunit ribosomal RNA
Source: RNAcentral
UACGGAGGGGGCUAGCGUUGUUCGGAAAUACUGGGCGUAAAGCGUGCGUAGGCGGCUUGGCAAGUCAGGGGUGAAAUCCCAGAGCUCAACUCUGGAACUGCCCUUGAAACUGCCGAGCUAGAAUCUUGGAGAGGUCAGUGGAAUUCCGAGUGUAGAGGUGAAAUUCGUAGAUAUUCGGAAGAACACCAGUGGCGAAGGCGACUGACUGGACAAGUAUUGACGCUGAGGUACGAAAGCGUGGGGAG